GUCCCCAUCGUCUAGAGGCCCAGGACCGCGGCUUUUCACGUCGCUAACGGGGGUUCGAAUCCCCCUGGGGACA
RNAcentral lists this transfer RNA (73 nucleotides) under Myxococcales bacterium. RNAcentral describes it as "tRNA-Glu". It matches the Rfam family "tRNA". Rfam says of the family: Transfer RNA (tRNA) molecules are approximately 80 nucleotides in length. Their secondary structure includes four short double-helical elements and three loops (D, anti-codon, and T loops). Further hydrogen bonds mediate the characteristic L-shaped molecular structure. tRNAs have two regions of fundamental functional importance: the anti-codon, which is responsible for specific mRNA codon recognition, and the 3' end, to which the tRNAs corresponding amino acid is attached (by aminoacyl-tRNA synthetases). tRNAs cope with the degeneracy of the genetic code in two manners: having more than one tRNA (with a specific anti-codon) for a particular amino acid; and 'wobble' base-pairing, i.e. permitting non-standard base-pairing at the 3rd anti-codon position. RNAcentral also lists the same sequence under 2 other names. Lineage: Bacteria; Pseudomonadati; Myxococcota; Myxococcia; Myxococcales. The record is from RNAcentral.